AUUUGGUUAAGUUAUUAAGGGCAUACGGUGGAUGCCUUGGUACGAGAAGUCGAUGAAGGACGCGAUUACCUGCGAUAAGCCUCGGAUAGGUGGAAAUAACCUAAUACCCGGGGAUUUCCUAAUGGGGCAACCCGUCAUGAGUAAUGUCAUGACAUCUUCACCUGAAUACAUAGGGUGUAUGAAGACAACCCGGGGAACUGAAACAUCUCAGUACCCGGAGGAAGAGAAAACAAUAGUGAUUUCCUUAGUAGCGGCGAGCGAAAAGGAAACAGUCUAAACCUUCUAACAUGUUAAAGGAAGCAACCGUUGUGUUAGAGGUGUUGUGGGAUAUAUUCUGGCUGAAUUGCUAAUAAGUCGGAGAGUAAAAAAUUAUACUAUUAACUAAAUGUUCUGGAAAGUUCAACCAUAGAAGGUGAUAGUCCUGUAAGUGAAAAUAGUAUAACUCUCUGGGAUGUAUUCCCAAGUAUCACGGAGUAAGUGGAAGUCUGUGAAAAUCCGGGAGAACCAUCUCCUAAGACUAAAUACUCUCUCGUAACCGAUAGUGAAUCAGUACCGUGAGGGAAAGGUGAAAAGAACUCCUAGUAGGAGAGUGAAAUAGUACCUGAAACCGUAUGCUUACAAACGGUUGGAGUCCCGAUUUAUCGGGAUGACAGCGUGCCUUCUGGAUAAUGAGCCAACGAGUUACUCGUGUGUGGCAAGGUUAAAGGCUUUAGGCCAGUAGCCAUAGCGAAAGCGAGUCCUAAAUGGGCGUUUUAGUUACAUGCGGUAGACGCGAAACCGAGUGAUCUACCCUUGUCCAGGAUGAAGUGAGGGUAAAACCUCAUGGAGGUCCGAACUAGUGUGGGUUGAAAACCGCUUGGAUGAGGUAAGGGUAGGAGCGAAAGACCAAUCAAACUCGGAAAUAGCUCGUAUUCCUCGAAAUAGCUUUAGGGCUAGCCUCGAGUAUAUAGUGUAACGGAGGUAGAGCACUGAUUGGGCUAGGGCUGUCACAACGGUACCAAACCCAGACAAACUCCGAAUUCCGUUUACAUGUUUCUCGGGAGUCAGGCAGUGGGGGAUAAGCUUCAUUGCCAAAAGGGAAACAACCCAGACCAACAACUAAGGUCCCUAAAUAGUAGUUAACAGAGAAAGGAUGUUCAAUUGCUCAGACAACUAGGAUGUUGGCUUAGAAGCAGCCAUUCAUUUAAAGAGUGCGUAAUAGCUCACUAGUCAAGCGAUCGAGCGUCGACAAUUUCCGGGACUUAAACUACUUACCGACGUUAUGGUCCCGCCUAUGGCGGGAGGUAGAGGAACAUUCUAUAUGCAUUGAAGGUGUGUUGCGAGACAUGCUGGAGUUUAUAGAAAAGCAAAUGUUGGCAUAAGUAACGAUAAGAUCGAUGAAAAAUCGAUCCACCGAAAAUCUAAGGUUUCCUGAGCAAUGUUAGUCAUCUCAGGGUUAGUCGAUUCCUAAGCCGAGGCUGAAAGGCGUAGGCGAUGGAAAACAGGUUAAUAUUCCUGUACCUGGUAAAUUUCGUUUGAACAUAAGGAGUGACGCAGGAGUGAAGGUUAGCCACCUGUUGGAUUAGGUGGUCUAAGCGUGUAGGUUUGAGAUGCAGGCAAAUCCGCAUCUCUUUAAGACCGAGACGUGAACGGGAUGGCUUUGCCAAUAAACUAACCGUAAUCAUACUGCCGAGAAAAACUUCGUAUGUAAGAAAUUUAUCAGAUCGUACCGUAAACCGACACAGGUAGAUGGGAAGAGUAUUCUUAGGUGCUCGAGUGAGCCGUGGUUAAGGAACUCGGCAAAUUAACCCCGUAACUUCGGGAAAAGGGGUGCCCCUAGUAAGUGAAAUCCUUGCGGAUGUAGCUGAAUGGGGCCGCAGUGAAAAGGCCCAAGCGACUGUUUAACAAAAACACAUGUCUCUGCGAAGUCAAUCAAGACGAUGUAUAGGGACUGACACCUGCCCGGUGCUGGAAGGUUAAGAGGAGAUGUCAUCGCAAGAGAAGCAUUGAAUCGAAGCCCCAGUAAACGGCGGCCGUAACUAUAACGGUCCUAAGGUAGCGAAAUUCCUUGUCGGGUAAGUUCCGACCUGCACGAAUGGUGUAACGAUUUGGGCACUGUCUCAACCACGGGCUCGGUGAAAUUGUGGUACCGGUGAAGACGCCGGUUACCCGCAUAUGGACGGAAAGACCCCGUGCACCUUUACUGCACCCUAAUAUUGGGUUCGGAUAAAGCAUGUGUAGCAUAGGUGGGAGGCUUUGAAACCGGGACGCUAGUUUCGGUGGAGCCAACAUUGAAAUACCACCCUUGUUUUAUUUGGAUUCUAACCUCGAUCCAUGAAUCUGGAUUAGGAACAGUGUUAGGCGGGUAGUUUGACUGGGGCGGUCGCCUCGACCGCAUUAUAAAUGAGGGGCGUUCGCAUGGUAACAUGCGUUUCAUAAUCUGGCUGUAUGCUGGAACAUCCGUUCACAAAUCCUUCAUAGUAAGAAUUUAGUGAUGUAGAAUCUGUUGGGACUCGUCUCAAUUAUAUUGAGGCAGUAAAACUUCAACAGUGCGGACAAUCAGCAGGGAAGUCUGCCGUCGGCGGACCCCUCAACGACUAUACGCCGGACCCCCAAUUUCGGGGGAUGAUAUAGUCUGAUCUUCAUAGCGAUAUGAAGUUCCGAUUUGAUCGGGAUUCCAAAGUCAACAAUAUAUAAACUCUUAAAACUAACAUGCAUUCACGUAAAAUUGAAAGAACUAAAUCAUCAUUGAAGUUAAGUGAUGAACAGCGUGAGGUUCUAGUUGGAUUACUUCUCGGAGAUGCUCAUUUAGAAACACAAAAUGAUGGCAAAACAUACAGAGCAAAAUUUGAAUACAGCAUUAAACAUAGAUUGUAUGCAAAUCAUCUGUAUGAAAUUUUUAGAGAGUGGGUUCUAACCCCUCCUCAAAUAAAGCAGGAUAAAACUCAUAAUAAUAUAUGGUUUCAGACUGUAAGCCAUGGUGCGUUUCGCUUCUAUGCACAUCAAUUCUAUGAUGGCAAGAAUAAAUGUGUUCCGAAAUUAAUUCAUCAUUAUCUUACUAAUAAAUCAGUUGCUUACUGGUUUAUGGAUGAUGGUUCAAUCAAAUCACAUGAAUCAAAAGGUGUUAUUUUCAACACCCAGUAUUUUGUUAAAAGAGAUGUGCAGCGGUUGAUAAAAUGUUUGCAAAAUUACUUCGACCUCGAAGCAAGCGUUCGCAAACAGAAAGAUGGACUUCAGAUUUACAUUUCCGGGAAAUCAUACGAACGAUUUCUUGAAAUAGUUUUUCCUUAUGUUCAUACAUCAAUGCACUACAAAAUUCCGGUCUGCAGAAGAAGCAGACAAGUUGACAGGAAAACAUAAUGCCUAAAAUGUAACGGAGGCUCUCAAAGGUUCCCUCAGCAUGGUUGGUAAUCAUGCGGCGAGUGUAAAGGCAAAAGGGAGCUUGACUGCGAGACUUACAAGUCGAGCAGGUGCGAAAGCAGGACUUAGUGAUCCGACGGUAGCGAGUGGAAGUGCCGUCGCUCAAAGGAUAAAAGGUACGCCGGGGAUAACAGGCUGAUCUUACCCAAGAGUUCAUAUCGACGGUAAGGUUUGGCACCUCGAUGUCGGCUCAUCGCAUCCU
Molecule: ribosomal RNA, 3601 nt
Filed under: Ignavibacteria bacterium RIFOXYB12_FULL_35_14
Lineage: Bacteria; Pseudomonadati; Ignavibacteriota; Ignavibacteria
Description: bacterial LSU rRNA
Rfam family: Bacterial large subunit ribosomal RNA
Source: RNAcentral